This 422-nucleotide ribosomal RNA is filed under the name uncultured bacterium. Its description in RNAcentral is "bacterial SSU rRNA". The stretch from base 1 to 311 matches the Rfam family "Bacterial small subunit ribosomal RNA", at positions 997 to 1328 of the family's 1533-position model. The record is from RNAcentral.
AUCUAAGAGAUUAGACGUUCCCUUCGGGGACAUGGAUACAGGUGGUGCAUGGUUGUCGUCAGCUCGUGUCGUGAGAUGUUGGGUUAAGUCCCGCAACGAGCGCAACCCUUAUUAUCAGUUGCCAGCAUUAAGUUGGGCACUCUGGUGAGACUGCCGGUGACAAACCGGAGGAAGGUGGGGAUGACGUCAAAUCAUCUUGCCCCUUAUGAGCUGGGCUACACACGUGCUACAAUGGAUGGUACAACGAGUUGUGAACUCGCUAGAGUAAACUAAUCUCUUAAAGCCAUCUCUCAGUUCGGCAUCGAAAGCUGCUACCUCUCUUAAUUAAUCCCAGAAAUCGCUAGAUAUAUGCAGUAUAAGCAUUACCUAAGGUAUAAAAUGAUUCCGCGGUUUUUGAUAACCACUCUGAUUUUAAAUUUUCC